Molecule: ribosomal RNA, 803 nt
Filed under: uncultured bacterium
Lineage: Bacteria
Description: bacterial SSU rRNA
Rfam family: Bacterial small subunit ribosomal RNA
Source: RNAcentral
GCUCAUUUAUGCCGGCGACCGGCGCACGGGUGAGUAACACGUAUGCAACCUGCCCGUCUCAGGGGGAUAAUCGUCGGAAACGGCGUCUAAUACCCCGUAUGAAGCUGGACGGCAUCGUCUGGUUUUGAAAGAAUAUCGGAGACGGAUGGGCAUGCGGCGCAUUAGCUGGUUGGCGGGGUAACGGCCCACCAAGGCGACGAUGCGUAGGGGUUCUGAGAGGAAGGUCCCCCACACUGGUACUGAGACACGGACCAGACUCCUACGGGAGGCAGCAGUGAGGAAUAUUGGUCAAUGGGCGAGAGCCUGAACCAGCCAAGUCGCGUGAGGGAGUACUGCCCUAUGGGUUGUAAACCUCUUUUGUCGGGGAGCAAAAGCCGGACGUGUCCGGCUGUGAGAGUACCCGAAGAAAAAGCAUCGGCUAACUCCGUGCCAGCAGCCGCGGUAAUACGGAGGAUGCGAGCGUUAUCCGGAUUUAUUGGGUUUAAAGGGUGCGCAGGCGGAUUUUUAAGUCAGCGGUCAAAUCGUGGGGCUCAACCCCAUCCAGCCGUUGAAACUGGGGAUCUAGAGUGUGCGAGAGGUAUGCGGAAUGCGUGGUGUAGCGGUGAAAUGCAUAGAUAUCACGCAGAACCCCGAUUGCGAAGGCAGCAUACCGGUGCACAACUGACGCUCAGGCACGAAAGCGUGGGUAUCGAACAGGAUUAGAUACCCUGGUAGUCCACGCAGUAAACGAUGAAUGCUACCUGUUUGGCCUGAUUGAAGGCUGAGCGGGACAGCGAAAGCGUUAAGCAUUCCACCUGGGGAGU